GCCGGGUGUGGUGGCGGGCACCUGUAGUCCCAGCUACUCGGGAGGCUGAGGCAGGAGAAUCACUUGAACCUGGGAGGCGGAGGUUGCAGUUAGCCGAGAUCGUGCCACUGCACUCCAGCCUGGGCCACAGAGCAAGGCUCUGUCUCAAAAAAAAAAAAAAAAAAAAAGAUGUUAUUGAUUUUUUUUUUGAGAGGGAGUCUUACUCUAUGGCCCAGGCUGGAGUGCAGCAGCACGGUCUCCGCUCACUGCAACCACUACCUUCCGGGUUCAAGUGAUUCUCCUGCCUCAG
Molecule: unclassified non-coding RNA, 289 nt
Organism: Pongo abelii (Sumatran orangutan)
Lineage: Eukaryota; Metazoa; Chordata; Mammalia; Primates; Hominidae
Rfam family: Metazoan signal recognition particle RNA
About the family: The signal recognition particle (SRP) is a universally conserved ribonucleoprotein. It is involved in the co-translational targeting of proteins to membranes.
Source: Ensembl